Molecule: ribosomal RNA, 495 nt
Filed under: uncultured bacterium
Lineage: Bacteria
Description: partial 16S ribosomal RNA
Rfam family: Bacterial small subunit ribosomal RNA
Source: RNAcentral
GACGAACGCUGGCGGCGUGCCUAAUACAUGCAAGUAGAACGCUGAAGGAGGAGCUUGCUUCUCUGGAUGAGUUGCGAACGGGUGAGUAACGCGUAGGUAACCUGCCUGGUAGCGGGGGAUAACUAUUGGAAACGAUAGCUAAUACCGCAUAAGAGUAGAUGUCGCAUGACAUUUGCUUAAAAGGUGCAAUUGCAUCACUACCAGAUGGACCUGCGUUGUAUUAGCUAGUUGGUGAGGUAACGGCUCACCAAGGCAACGAUACAUAGCCGACCUGAGAGGGUGAUCGGCCACACUGGGACUGAGACACGGCCCAGACUCCUACGGGAGGCAGCAGUAGGGAAUCUUCGGCAAUGGACGGAAGUCUGACCGAGCAACGCCGCGUGAGUGAAGAAGGUUUUCGGAUCGUAAAGCUCUGUUGCAAGAGAAGAACGAGUGUGAGAGUGGAAAGUUCACACUGUGACGGUAUCUUACCAGAAAGGGACGGCUAACUACGUG